This 1074-nucleotide ribosomal RNA is filed under the name Notocotylidae sp. 1 DISC-2009. RNAcentral describes it as "bacterial SSU rRNA". It matches the Rfam family "Eukaryotic small subunit ribosomal RNA", at positions 63 to 943 of the family's 1831-position model. The record is from RNAcentral. Lineage: Eukaryota; Metazoa; Platyhelminthes; Trematoda; Plagiorchiida; Notocotylidae.
AUUUAAUAAACCUUAAACGGUGAAACCGCGAAUGGCUCAUUAAAUCAGCUAUGGUUCCUUGGAUCGUAAAUACUACAUGGAUAACUGUAGUAAUUCUAGAGCUAAUACAUGCCACGAUGCCCAAUUCUGGGUGGAUUUAUUAGUACAGAACCAACCGGAUGCAGUUCUGCUGUAUCUGUUACGCUCUGUGAUGACUCUGGAUAACUUUACUGAUCGCAGUCGGCCUUGUGUCGGCGACGGAUCUUUCAAAUGUCUGCCCUAUCAAUUGUCGAUGGUAGGUGACCUGCCUACCAUGGUGAUAACGGGUAACGGGGAAUCAGGGUUCGAUUCCGGAGAGGGAGCCUGAGAAACGGCUACCACUUCUAAGGAAGGCAGCAGGCACGCAAAUUACCCAAUCCCGGCACGGGGAGGUAGUGACGAAAAAUACGGAAACGGGACUCAUUAGAGGCUCCGUUAUUCGAAUGAGUACAAUUUAAAUCCUUUAACGAGGAUCAACUGGAGGGCAAGUCUGGUGCCAGCAGCCGCGGUAACUCCAGCUCCAGAAGCGUAUAUUAAAGUUGUUGCAGUUAAAAAGCUCGUAGUUGGAUCUGGGUUCGCAUGGCUACAUGCUGUUGCUUAUAUUCUCAGCCUGGUUACGAUCGGGUUGGGUUUAUGGCUGGGCGUAGUGGUUGUGCAGCCUUUCUGCCCGUGUCUGUUUUUGCAGGUGCUGGGUUGAUCGGUUUUCGGUCUGCUAGCAUGCUUUCCAGGUGCCCUUUAAACGGGUGUCGGGGGGCGGACGGCAUGUUUUACUUUUGAACAAUUUUGAGUGCUCAAAGCAGGCCCUUUGUUGCUCUGAAAAGUCUUGCAUGGAAAUAAUGGAAUAAGGACUUCGGUUCUAUUUUUGUUGGUUUUCGGAUCCCAAAGUAAUGGUUUAAAAAGGGACCCAACGGGGGCUAUUUUGUAUUGGCCGUGUUAGAAGCUGUAAUAUCCUGGGAAUCGGCCCCCCUGAAUACUAAACUACUAGUGAAGCCAUUCGUCCCGAAUGAAGUGUUCUCUACAUUGGAAUUCUGUGGAAGACCCGCGAAGACGAGUGAU